AGUCGGAUAGCUCAGAGGUAGAGCAAUGUCUUGAUAAGGCAUGGGUCGCCGGUUCGAUCCCGGCUCCGGCUA
Molecule: non-coding RNA, 72 nt
Organism: Ostertagia ostertagi
Lineage: Eukaryota; Metazoa; Nematoda; Chromadorea; Rhabditida; Trichostrongylidae
Source: the annotation of a GenBank genome assembly